UCNGUACAGGUACCAUGACUACCACCUCCUU
This 31-nucleotide non-coding RNA is filed under the name Mus musculus (house mouse). Lineage: Eukaryota; Metazoa; Chordata; Mammalia; Rodentia; Muridae. The record is from RNAcentral.